UGUGUCCUGGCUAAGAUUCAGGCAACUGGACAAUGAAAGAGGAAACAGACUGCACAUCUUGACUUUCCUCCAGCACUCAGUGACUUCACAGGGAGCUUGUAUUAAAGCACUUUGGUGCUUUUUUGAGUAGCACUAGGACACAUUGAAAUAUCACCACCCAGCCUGGGCAAACCAAAGACUUUAUCUUCAGCAAAGCCAAAGGAAGAUAUUGCAUUCCCUGAGGAAGCCGAUAUACCUCAGCUGGCUCAACAUUAUUUGUUUGUGGUUGGAGCAAGGGGAUUCACUGUCCUUGGAUGGAAAUCUUUGUUGUGGAGAGCCCUGCCAGAUACACUGAGCACUUUAAAUAUCUGAACAGAUGCUCCCUGGAAGGAAGCACCACCACCAGGGAGUUGGGACCAAGACACAGCCAGGAGGACAGUGAGUUUCCAACUGCUCCUUCCUCUCUCAGCUCGUCUUGCUUGUGCCGAGUAACUUCAAGAUAAUUAGGGGAGAGGCCAGAGGAAGGGGACAUGGCU
Molecule: long non-coding RNA, 515 nt
Organism: Hirundo rustica (Barn swallow)
Lineage: Eukaryota; Metazoa; Chordata; Aves; Passeriformes; Hirundinidae
Exons: 3
Source: RefSeq, a predicted model, not a curated record